AACGAACGCUGGCGGCAGGCCUAAUACAUGCAAGUCGAACGCCCGUAGCAAUACGGGAGUGGCAGACGGGUGAGUAACGCGUGGGAACAUACCCUUUGGUACGGAACAACUCCGGGAAACUGGAGCUAAUACCGUAUGUGCCCUAUGGGGGAAAGAUUUAUCGCCAAAGGAUUGGCCCGCGUCUGAUUAGCUAGUUGGUGGGGUAACGGCCCACCAAGGCGACGAUCAGUAGCUGGUCUGAGAGGAUGAUCAGCCACACUGGGACUGAGACACGGCCCAGACUCCUACGGGAGGCAGCAGUAGGGAAUAUUGGACAAUGGGCGAAAGCCUGAUCCAGCCAUGCCGCGUGAGUGAUGAAGGCCUUAGGGUUGUAAAGCUCUUUCGGCGGGGACGAUAAUGACGGUACCGCAGAAGAAGACCCCGGCUAACUUCGUG
RNAcentral lists this ribosomal RNA (435 nucleotides) under uncultured bacterium. RNAcentral describes it as "bacterial SSU rRNA". It matches the Rfam family "Bacterial small subunit ribosomal RNA", at positions 29 to 507 of the family's 1533-position model. The record is from RNAcentral.